This 200-nucleotide ribosomal RNA is filed under the name uncultured bacterium. RNAcentral describes it as "partial 16S ribosomal RNA". It matches the Rfam family "Bacterial small subunit ribosomal RNA", at positions 8 to 226 of the family's 1533-position model. The record is from RNAcentral.
AGAGUUUGAUCCUGGCUCAGAACGAACGCUGGCGGCAGGCUUAACACAUGCAAGUCGAGCGCUGUACGCGAGUACGGAGCGGCGGACGGGUGAGUAACGCGUGGGAACAUGCCCUUUGGAUUGGGAUAACCCGGGGAAACCCGGGCUAAUACCGGAUACGCCCAGAUUUAGAUUUGGGGAAAGAUUUAUUGCCGAAGGAU